CCUACGGGUGGCAGCAGUGAGGAAUAUUGGUCAAUGGCCGGAAGGCUGAACCAGCCAAGCCGCGUGAAGGACGAAGGUGCCAAGCAUUGUAAACUUCUUUUGUCAAGGGACAAAAUCAGGCACGAGAGCCUGACCGAGUGUACCUGAAGAAAAAACAUCGGCUAACUCCGUGCCAGCAGCCGCGGUAAUACGGAGGAUGCGAGCGUUAUCCGGAUGUAUUGGGUUUAAAGGGUGCGUAGGCGGGCUGUUAAGUCAGCGGUAAAAGGCCGGGGCUCAACCCCGGCUAGCCGUUGAAACUGGCAGUCUUGAGAUUGAGAGAGGUAUGCGGAAUGCGCAGUGUAGCGGUGAAAUGCUUAGAUAUUGCGCAGAACUCCGAGUGCGAAGGCAGCAUACCGGCGGCGCACUGACGCUGAGGCACGAAAGCGUGGGUAUCGAACAGGAUUAGAUACCCGUGUAGUC
This 459-nucleotide ribosomal RNA is filed under the name uncultured bacterium. RNAcentral describes it as "partial 16S ribosomal RNA". It matches the Rfam family "Bacterial small subunit ribosomal RNA", at positions 338 to 795 of the family's 1533-position model. The record is from RNAcentral.